Long non-coding RNA from Wasmannia auropunctata (little fire ant), 902 nucleotides. RefSeq lists it as uncharacterized. The transcript is spliced from 2 exons. Lineage: Eukaryota; Metazoa; Arthropoda; Insecta; Hymenoptera; Formicidae. The record is from RefSeq and is a predicted model, not a curated record.
AUUUCCAUUCUGCGACGCUGUCAAUUAGCGGUGCGCCGUAACGUGCCGGCGGAUUCGGCAAGGCGCGCACCGCGAAUCGUCGACUUCGCCGCUUGUCAUUUCCAUACGUUUUCACGUGCGAGACCGCGUUCAAGCGGCGGCAAGCCGUCAACGGAGGAUUUAUGUCCAUUUCUACCAAUGCAGAUUAAUAUGGGUUAAUUCAACACUCUCUUUAUCCUUUUCUAAUUUUUAGAACUAAAAACAGGUAAAAAGAUGCCGGGCCGAAGAUAGGCUAUGCUCUCGCCGAAUAAUGGAUGAUGAAACUCUGGGAGCUUCCUUAGGGUCCAAAGACGGACGCGGGUUAAAUUUUCAACGUGUCAACUGAGAUUGUUACAAGCCGCGGAUUGGCGUUGGCGAUUCAGCGAAGGCAGGCCGCACGACGCAAUCCCACGAUCAAUGCGAAAACGCAGGAGAAAUUAUGAUAUUCAUUUGCGCGCGUUACGCACGAGUCCUAUCUGUUCCGAAAUCCCGCAUGAUUGAAAAGGGCUCCAUUGACUGAUUACGAAUUAAUUACGAUUGACUAAUUGCAAUUUAAAGUAUGCAGUCCCAUUAAUCGAUUCGUUGUGUAAUUCAUUUACUCGUGAAUUAUUAAUUAUUUAUCUCAUUUCGGACUUUCAAUAAUUGAUCGGCUAACGAAACAAGUAAAAUCGCAAUUAUUUGUCCGGCGGCCGUUAUUAAAAUAAUACCCGGCUUAAUUUGAGUAAUGUUGAUUAUAUACAUUAUAAAGACAUCAUUGCCAUUAAUAAAACGCGUACAUAUCUGUCAAUAUUCUUCCUAUUGACGAAAUGUCCGGCUAUAACUGUACUUUUUCUACUUAAAUAAUGUAUCUAUUUCUGCAUCAGAAGUUUGAUGUAAAAAUUUUA